This 542-nucleotide long non-coding RNA is filed under the name Fukomys damarensis (Damara mole-rat). RNAcentral's name for it is "lncRNA (ENSFDAG00000032536.1)". The record is from RNAcentral. Lineage: Eukaryota; Metazoa; Chordata; Mammalia; Rodentia; Bathyergidae.
GAAGUGCGUGUUGUCGGUCAGCUUUGUGCGCUGUGCUGUGCCGUGCCCUGGGGAUGUCGUGGUGAUCAGCCUGUGAGGUCUGGGGUCUUGAGGGGGAUACAGGCCGGUCGGAUUGAUGAAGACGGUUCUGGCUAGAGGAGCACCCGUGAAGAGGCCUAGGAAAGGAAGGAGGAAAACAUGGUCUUGAUGCAGAGAAAUGCGGUGGAGUCGGGGCGCUGUGAGGGGACGCGGGGAGGAUUGGUGUCCAGGCCGCGAGGACCUUCUCAGGCUUCCAGCAAGGAGCAGCAGGACCGGCUCUGCACUGAUGGGUACCUUGCAAAGAAAAGAGUUUUACAUGGCACACAGUCUGCAGGCAAGGGAGUUCAGGAUUGCAUCUGGCAAGGGCCUUGUCCAGGAUUAUAGCACGGCAGAUGGCGCUGUAUGUUCAGAAGGCACCAAAAACGGACCAGCAGGGCAGGGAGAGCAGAGAUCAUAUGGCGAGGGAAGAAGCGGGUGAGUAAUACAAAAACACCUCAUUCUGCUCUUGUGGUGAUCAGUGCAAU